This is a long non-coding RNA of Glossina fuscipes, 2149 nucleotides long. RefSeq lists it as uncharacterized. NCBI's taxonomy places the organism in Eukaryota, Metazoa, Arthropoda, Insecta, Diptera, Glossinidae. The record is from RefSeq and is a predicted model, not a curated record. The transcript is spliced from 2 exons.
GGUGUGCCUCCAUGCUAGAUAUGUACAUGUUUUUAUCUGUGUUUACUUUUGCAUGAAUAUUGUUCUUUUUAUUUUCUUAUUUUUGCUUUAUUUUUCUUUAAAUACUGUUUAAUCAUUAUUGAUAACACUUUAUUUCUAAGAAGCAGUUAAAUUCAGCUGUUAGUUUAUAUUAGUUGAAUUUCACGUGUAAAUAAAAUAAAAACACGUGUUAAAAGAAAAAAAUUCUCUUUCCACACGAACUGUUUUGUUUGGACACAAUUUUCAAUAUGGAGUGUAUUUUUUUUUCAAUUUUUUGAAUGAAUUUUUUGAAUGAAUUUUUCUUCUAGAGGUCUCUGUGAAUUUUUUCAUUCUCACUUCUCAAAAGUAUGCAUUGUAGCUUUGCGCUAUAUUUGUCACAAUUUAGUUAGAUUAUGUCGAUCAUAUGCGUACGUGGUUGGAAUUCCCAGAAUUAUGCGUAGAGCAAAGACGUAAUGUAUAUUUUACGCAUUUAGUUUGGUUUUUCAAAGUAUAACUUAUUUUCGUGUAACAUAUUUAAUGAAGUAAAAUGUCUAAGCACGAAGUAAAUUCUUAAGCGAACUCUAACAAGAAUUUUUUGAUAAUUAUACUUUUUAGUUGCUUUUUUAAGUCUGGAAAUAAUCUACUAUUUUUUCAUUCAGCCAUUAAAUGUCAAUUUGAAAUAAGGAAUAUUAACCAAUGCGUACAUUUCUAGAAACAAUGUAUCCUAAUUUUUCUUUAGGCUCGUUCAUUGAAGAUGAGAACAGGGACAAUUGCGACACACAAGAAAUGGUCACCAUGAGACUAGGGCGAACGGCUUUGCGGGAUGCUUCCGACCACUAGCGUUACCUCAAAACGAGUAAAUAGAUUGUUUCUAAUAUUUCCAAAGGGCAUAUGAUAUGUUGCUACAUAUAGAUUUAUGCAGAAGUUCCUAAUUUCCAAAGCGGCUUUUCAUUAUGUCCUGGGGAAAAUGAUAUGAGUGGAGAUAUUAGGAGCACAUAUAUACUGCCUGCGUUACGGCUAGCCAUGACUCUACAGUUGUCGGUUUCAGGAGGAUAGCAAUGGCUGACGUGUAACGACCAUACCGUAAGUAUAGCACAAAGCACGUUAUUAACUGUUUUAUCAGAGGUGUUACAAGAGUUGAAAACGAAACUGCGGUGUGAAUGCAAUGGAUCAUAAAUAGGAAUGCGAAGGUGUGCCACCGGAAAUUCUAGGGAGUAAUUGAAGAUUUUGUAGCAUUAACAUGUGUGGAGGCACUCCGUUACAUGGAAAGCCAAUCGGCUGGGCAUGAUAGCAAUGUUUUGCUGCUUGCAACCACCUAGAGGAUGUUGCAUGCACUUAUGCGCUUCACUUGAGAUUAUGUUAUUUUUUUUCUUCUACACCGACUUAUAUUACUACCUCCUGUCAUGCGCAAGUAACGUUAUAAUUAUUUUGUUAUUGUCACGCAUUACAGCCCACUUCGUAAUAAAUCGUCAUAAAGGUUGAUAUUUGAAAUAUUAAUGACAGUAGUCGUGAUUGUAUCUCUCGUACAUUUUUGAAAUCAUGUGAUGAGUGCCAUUCGUAUGUGUUCCAAAAUUUAUUUAUCCUAACAUAAAAGAUGAGUGAAGGUAUUCCCUUUUUCUGUGAUUUUUUAUUAUUAUUAUUAUUAUUAUUAUUAUUAUUAUUAUUAUUAUUACUAUAUCAGUUACAGAAACAUGUUAAACAUUGUUUUUGUCCUUUUUGUUAGAUAUUAUUUGGAUGAUAAACAAAGAAAAAGCUUUUUUAUGAAUUAUUAUUUUUAAUUUUAUUAUGGUGAAAAUCUGAAAAGAAAAACAACACGAUUUUAUUUCUAAUAAAAAAAUGAACUUAAGCUUAGAACAUUCUAAUGAAACGAGCAAAAAUGAUUAGAUAAAUUGCUACGUAAACAAAAACUUAAUACACUAAAUUAUGUAAAUAAUAGUAUUAAUAAUUAUUAAUCUUACUUAUAUAUACUUACAUCGUAUAAACAAGGUUAACUACAGUCGACAUAAAAUCAAUAUACUAAGAAUAAUGAAAACAAAAGAAAUGAGAAACUCCUUAACUUUGCUUCGCCGCGAGCGCGUUCAUUAUUCAAUAUAAAUACAAAAGUUUCUAUGUUAUUAUCGUUACUUUAUAAUUAAUGUUACUUUGUUACAUG